RNAcentral lists this ribosomal RNA (245 nucleotides) under uncultured bacterium. RNAcentral describes it as "partial 16S ribosomal RNA". It matches the Rfam family "Bacterial small subunit ribosomal RNA", at positions 524 to 768 of the family's 1533-position model. The record is from RNAcentral.
UACGGGGGGUGCAAGCGUUGUUCGGAAUCAUUGGGCGUAAAGAGCGUGUAGGCGGCUAGAUAAGUCAGAUGUGAAAGCCCUGGGCUCAACCCGGGAAGUGCAUUUGAAACUGUCUUGCUAGAGUAAGGGAGAGGGAAGUGGAAUUCCUGGUGUAGAGGUGAAAUUCGUAGAUAUCAGGAGGAACACCGGUGGCGAAGGCGACUUCCUGGCCCUAUACUGACGCUGAGACGCGAGAGCGUGGGGAG